Molecule: ribosomal RNA, 256 nt
Filed under: uncultured bacterium
Lineage: Bacteria
Description: partial 16S ribosomal RNA
Rfam family: Bacterial small subunit ribosomal RNA
Source: RNAcentral
UACGUAGGGUGCAAGCGUUGUCCGGAAUUAUUGGGCGUAAAGAGCUCGUAGGCGGUUUGUCGCGUCUGCUGUGAAAAUCCAGGGCUUAACCCUGGACCUGCAGUGGGUACGGGCAGACUAGAGUGCGGUAGGGGAGAUCGGAAUUCCUGGUGUAGCGGUGAAAUGCGCAGAAUAUCAGGAGGAACACCGGUGGCGAAGGCGGAUCUCUGGGCCGUAACUGACGCUGGAGGAGCGAAAGCAUGGGGAGCGAACAGGA